This 428-nucleotide ribosomal RNA is filed under the name Pseudomonadota bacterium. Its description in RNAcentral is "Proteobacteria bacterium partial 16S ribosomal RNA". It matches the Rfam family "Bacterial small subunit ribosomal RNA", at positions 355 to 776 of the family's 1533-position model. Lineage: Bacteria; Pseudomonadati; Pseudomonadota. The record is from RNAcentral.
UGGGGAAUAUUGGACAAUGGGCGAAAGCCUGAUCCAGCCAUGCCGCGUGUGUGAAGAAGGUCUUCGGAUUGUAAAGCACUUUAAGUUGGGAGGAAGGGCAGUAAGCGAAUACCUUGCUGUUUUGACGUUACCGACAGAAUAAGCACCGGCUAACUCUGUGCCAGCAGCCGCGGUAAUACAGAGGGUGCAAGCGUUAAUCGGAAUUACUGGGCGUAAAGCGCGCGUAGGUGGUUCGUUAAGUUGAAUGUGAAAGCCCCGGGCUCACCUGGGAACUGCAUCCAAAACUGGCGAGCUAGAGUAGGGCAGAGGGUGGUGGAAUUUCCUGUGUAGCGGUGAAAUGCGUAGAUAUAGGAAGGAACACCAGUGGCGAAGGCGACCACCUGGGCUCAUACUGACACUGAGGUGCGAAAGCGUGGGGAGCAAACAGG